GGGGAUAUAUUUCAACCUGGUAGAAGAAGCGCCUCCAAAGCGCUGGAUGUAGGUUCAAAUCCUACUAUCCCCA
Molecule: transfer RNA, 73 nt
Filed under: Candidatus Woesearchaeota archaeon
Lineage: Archaea; Nanobdellati; Candidatus Woesearchaeota
Description: tRNA-Trp
Rfam family: tRNA
About the family: Transfer RNA (tRNA) molecules are approximately 80 nucleotides in length.
Source: RNAcentral